CCCGAGUGGGCAAAGUUCCUCAUUGAGGAGUCGGAGUCCCGGAUCUCGGUCUCGCCAGCCUUGGACGUCUGGAGUGUCGGCAUGACCAUCUGCGAGCUGGUGACGCUGGAUGCUGUCCUAAAGCCCAUGUACGCAAACUUCCUGCGGAAUGGGAGGUCACACCGCGAGGCUGGCUUC
This 177-nucleotide non-coding RNA is filed under the name Alexandrium tamarense. The record is from RNAcentral. Lineage: Eukaryota; Dinophyceae; Gonyaulacales; Pyrocystaceae.